AAGGGAGACCUAAUUCGGGUAGAAGACGAAAAAAUAGUAGUCGAAACCAAGAAUCAAUCCCAAAAGGUCGGAACGAGGUAUGUGGCUUUCAAACUAGGCUCUGGGUUCACAAAAGACCUGAAUCAGGAACAAGGGCUAUUAGCUCAGGUGGUUAGAGCGCACCCCUGAUAAGGGUGAGGUCCCUGGUUCGAGUCCAGGAUGGCCCACCUGCACAGGUGGCAAAAACAAGAGAAACGAGGAAUCAGCACCUUAUCUUACUUACAUAGUAAGAGAGAAUGCUGGCUCUGAGUAAAGAGUCCAGAGGAACCUUGAAAACUGCAUAGAGCUAGGUGAAAAAGCCAAAAAAGAAGACCGCAA
This 357-nucleotide transfer RNA is filed under the name uncultured Microcystis sp. RNAcentral describes it as "partial 16S-23S ribosomal RNA intergenic spacer". The stretch from base 133 to 206 matches the Rfam family "tRNA". Lineage: Bacteria; Bacillati; Cyanobacteriota; Cyanophyceae; Chroococcales; Microcystaceae. The record is from RNAcentral.